RNAcentral lists this transfer RNA (72 nucleotides) under Actinomycetes bacterium. Its description in RNAcentral is "Actinobacteria bacterium tRNA-Arg". It matches the Rfam family "tRNA". From Rfam's summary of the family: Transfer RNA (tRNA) molecules are approximately 80 nucleotides in length. Their secondary structure includes four short double-helical elements and three loops (D, anti-codon, and T loops). Further hydrogen bonds mediate the characteristic L-shaped molecular structure. tRNAs have two regions of fundamental functional importance: the anti-codon, which is responsible for specific mRNA codon recognition, and the 3' end, to which the tRNAs corresponding amino acid is attached (by aminoacyl-tRNA synthetases). tRNAs cope with the degeneracy of the genetic code in two manners: having more than one tRNA (with a specific anti-codon) for a particular amino acid; and 'wobble' base-pairing, i.e. permitting non-standard base-pairing at the 3rd anti-codon position. The record is from RNAcentral. Lineage: Bacteria; Bacillati; Actinomycetota; Actinomycetes. RNAcentral also lists the same sequence under 1 other name.
GGCCCCGUAGCUCAGUGGAUAGAGCGACGGACUUCGAAUCCGUGUGCGGAGGUUCGAUCCCUCCCGGGGCCA